Ovis aries (sheep) is the source of this 74-nucleotide transfer RNA. It matches the Rfam family "tRNA". From Rfam's summary of the family: Transfer RNA (tRNA) molecules are approximately 80 nucleotides in length. NCBI's taxonomy places the organism in Eukaryota, Metazoa, Chordata, Mammalia, Artiodactyla, Bovidae. The record is from Rfam.
UCCCUGGUGGCUCAGAGGUCAAAAAGCAUCUGCCUGCAAUGCAGGAGACCUGGGUUUGAUCCCUGGAUCGGGAA